UACGGAGGGGGCUAGCGUUGUUCGGAAUUACUGGGCGUAAAGCGCACGUAGGCGGAUUGGAAAGUCGGGGGUGAAAUCCCGGGGCUCAACCCCGGAACUGCCUUCGAAACUCCCAGUCUGGAGUCCGAGAGAGGUGAGUGGAAUUCCGAGUGUAGAGGUGAAAUUCGUAGAUAUUCGGAGGAACACCAGUGGCGAAGGCGGCUCACUGGCUCGGUACUGACGCUGAGGUGCGAAAGCGUGGGGAGCAAACAGG
This 253-nucleotide ribosomal RNA is filed under the name uncultured bacterium. Its description in RNAcentral is "partial 16S ribosomal RNA". It matches the Rfam family "Bacterial small subunit ribosomal RNA", at positions 524 to 776 of the family's 1533-position model. The record is from RNAcentral.